UACGGAAGGCAGCAGUGGGGAAUAUUGCACAAUGGGCGCAAGCCUGAUGCAGCCAUGCCGCGUGUAUGAAGAAGGCCUUCGGGUUGUAAAGUACUUUCAGCGGGGAGGAAGGCGAUGUGGUUAAUAACCGCGUCGAUUGACGUUACCCGCAGAAGAAGCACCGGCUAACUCCGUGCCAGCAGCCGCGGUAAUACGGAGGGUGCAAGCGUUAAUCGGAAUUACUGGGCGUAAAGCGCACGCAGGCGGUCUGUUAAGUCAGAUGUGAAAUCCCCCGGGCUUAACCUGGGAACUGCAUUUUGAAACUGGCAGGCUUGAGUCUCGUAGAGGGGGUAGAAUUCCAGGUGUAGCGGUGAAAUGCGUAGAGAUCUGGAGGAAUACCGGUGGCGAAGGCGGCCCCUGGACGAAGACUGACGCUCAGGUGCGAAAGCGUGGGGAGCAAACAGGAUUAGAUACC
RNAcentral lists this ribosomal RNA (454 nucleotides) under uncultured bacterium. Its description in RNAcentral is "bacterial SSU rRNA". It matches the Rfam family "Bacterial small subunit ribosomal RNA", at positions 340 to 786 of the family's 1533-position model. The record is from RNAcentral.